RNAcentral lists this ribosomal RNA (859 nucleotides) under Atypoides riversi. RNAcentral describes it as "eukaryotic LSU rRNA". It matches the Rfam family "Eukaryotic large subunit ribosomal RNA", at positions 375 to 892 of the family's 3401-position model. The record is from RNAcentral. Lineage: Eukaryota; Metazoa; Arthropoda; Arachnida; Araneae; Antrodiaetidae.
UUUGAAGAGAGAGUUCAAGAGUACGUGAAACUGCUGAGAGGCAAACUGGUGGGCCCUCGAAAUCCCGUCUGCGGGGAGAUUCAGUCGGGUGUCGGCGGCCGUCUCGCAAUGGGUCUGUCGCAACCGAAGAUCGGGGCACAUUCCGAGAGGCGAGUUCGCCGGAACCCGACGCAUUUCCCGCCCGCACGAAAGGACGCCGCAGCCGGUCGGGUAGCUGCGCGUGUCGGCCAUGAGGACGUUGCGACGGCAGGUGACCGGCGGCCCUAGGCUUCUCCGGAGGCACUAACGGUCGACGGUUGAUUAGCCGGCUCGUCCGUGGCGCGACACCCGACCGAGGAAACACGGACUAAAUAGUUUCUCUCCACGGAGAGAAACCGAUAAUCCACUACUUUCAAACAAGAGAGCGAGCCGUCGGACAGGCGCGUUCCUGCGUGGUCGGACAGUCACCGCACUGGUCGAUCUGGUGGGAGCGCGUCGUUGGUUUCCGAGUCAGGAUCUCGCGGAGGAUGAAGGCUGGCGGCGAGUAGGUCGGUAACCCACCCGACCCGUCUUGAAACACGGACCAAGGAGUCUAACAUGUGCGCAAGUCGCGGGGUCUUGCUCAGGCCCAGAGGCGAAAUGAAAGUGAAGGCCGCCGCUCUCCCUCGUUCACUCGGGGGCGGAGUGAGGCGGCCCGGUUGGGACUCGCACGUGACACGGCACGUGAACGAAGCACCAACGACCCGCCCUGUUCUAUCUUCUGGAUAGGAACUCAAACGGAGUUCGAGCGCACACGUUGGGACCCGAAAGAUGGUGAACUAUGCCUGGGCAGGACGAAGCCAGAGGAAACUCUGGUGGAGGUCCGCAGCGGUUCUGACGU